This 838-nucleotide ribosomal RNA is filed under the name Vibrio sp. LC217. RNAcentral describes it as "bacterial SSU rRNA". It matches the Rfam family "Bacterial small subunit ribosomal RNA", at positions 242 to 1079 of the family's 1533-position model. Lineage: Bacteria; Pseudomonadati; Pseudomonadota; Gammaproteobacteria; Vibrionales; Vibrionaceae. The record is from RNAcentral.
UAGCUAGUUGGUGAGGUAAGGGCUCACCAAGGCGACGAUCCCUAGCUGGUCUGAGAGGAUGAUCAGCCACACUGGAACUGAGACACGGUCCAGACUCCUACGGGAGGCAGCAGUGGGGAAUAUUGCACAAUGGGCGCAAGCCUGAUGCAGCCAUGCCGCGUGUGUGAAGAAGGCCUUCGGGUUGUAAAGCACUUUCAGUCGUGAGGAAGGUGUGUAGUUAUAGCUGCAUUAUUUGACGUUAGCGACAGAAGCAGCCCGUUAACUCCGUGCCAGCAGCGCGGUAAUACGGAGGGUGCGAGCUUAUCGGAAUUACUGGGCGUAAAGCGCAUGCAGGUGGUUGUUAAGUCAGAUGUGAAAGCCCGGGGCUCAACCUCGGAAUAGCAUUUGAAACUGGCAGACUAGAGUACUGUAGAGGGGGGUAGAAUUUCAGGUGUAGCGGUGAAAUGCGUAGAGAUCUGAAGGAAUACCGGUGGCGAUGGCGGCCCCCUGGACAGAUACUGACACUCAGAUGCGAAAGCGUGGGGAGCAAACAGGAUUAGAUACCCUGGUAGUCCACGCCGUAAACGAUGUCUACUUGGAGGUUGUGCGCCUUGAGCCGUGGCUUUCGGAGCUAACGCGUUAAGUAGACCGCCUGGGGAGUACGGUCGCAAGAUUAAAACUCAAAUGAAUUGACGGGGGCCCGCACAAGCGGUGGAGCAUGUGGUUUAAUUCGAUGCAACGCGAAGAACCUUACCUACUCUUGACAUCCAGAGAACUUUCCAGAGAUGGAUUGGUGCCUUCGGGAACUCUGAGACAGGUGCUGCAUGGCUGUCGUCAGCUCGUGUUGUGAAAUGUUGGG